CGCAAUGGGCGAAAGCCUGACGCAGCAACGCCGCGUGCGGGAUGAAGGCCCUCGGGUUGUAAACCGCUUUCAGUGGGGACGAACCAAGACGGUACCCACAGAAGAAGGUCCGGCCAACUACGUGCCAGCAGCCGCGGUAACACGUAGGGACCAAGCGUUGUCCGGAUUCAUUGGGCGUAAAGAGCUCGUAGGCGGCUCAGUAAGUCGGGUGUGAAACCUCCAGGCUCAACCUGGAGACGCCACCCGAUACUGCUGUGGCUAGAGUCCAGUAGGGGAGCGUGGAAUUCCUGGUGUAGCGGUGAAAUGCGCAGAUAUCAGGAGGAACACCAGCGGCGAAGGCGGCGCUCUGGGCUGGAACUGACGCUGAGGAGCGAAAGCGUGGGGAGCGAACAGGAUUAGAUACCCUGGUAGUCCACGCCGUAAACGUUGGGUACUAGGUGUGGGGUCUUAUCAACGGAUUCCGUGCCGAAGCUAACGCAUUAAGUACCCCGCCUGGGGAGUACGGCCGCAAGGCUA
RNAcentral lists this ribosomal RNA (516 nucleotides) under uncultured Actinomycetes bacterium. Its description in RNAcentral is "bacterial SSU rRNA". It matches the Rfam family "Bacterial small subunit ribosomal RNA", at positions 367 to 896 of the family's 1533-position model. The record is from RNAcentral. Lineage: Bacteria; Bacillati; Actinomycetota; Actinomycetes.